RNAcentral lists this long non-coding RNA (577 nucleotides) under Vigna radiata. RNAcentral's name for it is "long non-coding RNA (VRAD_LNC017299)". The record is from RNAcentral. Lineage: Eukaryota; Viridiplantae; Streptophyta; Magnoliopsida; Fabales; Fabaceae.
GCUCCCUAGGAGCACUCUCAUGAGAUGGAGGAGGAACCUUACUGUUCUCAACAUAGAAAUCAACAGGAGAAUCAUAAUCAUAGGCAUAGGAAGAAGAAACAGUAUCCACAUAACCAAAAUAGGUAGACAUGGGAAAGAAGGGGGAAAAGAAGAAUGCAAUGAAAAUAUGUAACUAAAGUUACCUAAAUGCAACACACAUGACACCACAAACAAAACAGAACAUCACACUCAUAACACAAGACAAAACACAACACAUACUAACACAACAAAAGACCUAAAACCGAACCGUUGGUCCCCGGCAACGGCGCCAAAAUUUUGAUGGGUGUCGCACCCCAUGCAAAAUUUAAUGUGCAUAAAAGAAUGCAGUAUAAACUAGGAAGUGACUCCUAGGUUGUCUCUCAAGGACCAAACUAUGGUUUGAGAAUCAGGUCAAACAUGAAGUGGGGGGGGGGGUGGUGAAAGGUUUGUGAAUGCGAUGAAUUAAAUUAAAACACAGAUACAAACAAAAACGUAAAAACAGAUGUAAAAACGGAAUCAAGUACAAAAUAAAAGUGAUUGGUCAUUAACUCAAUUAAUA